RNAcentral lists this transfer RNA (77 nucleotides) under Microbacterium sp. CH12i. RNAcentral describes it as "tRNA-Met". It matches the Rfam family "tRNA". From Rfam's summary of the family: Transfer RNA (tRNA) molecules are approximately 80 nucleotides in length. Their secondary structure includes four short double-helical elements and three loops (D, anti-codon, and T loops). Further hydrogen bonds mediate the characteristic L-shaped molecular structure. tRNAs have two regions of fundamental functional importance: the anti-codon, which is responsible for specific mRNA codon recognition, and the 3' end, to which the tRNAs corresponding amino acid is attached (by aminoacyl-tRNA synthetases). tRNAs cope with the degeneracy of the genetic code in two manners: having more than one tRNA (with a specific anti-codon) for a particular amino acid; and 'wobble' base-pairing, i.e. permitting non-standard base-pairing at the 3rd anti-codon position. Lineage: Bacteria; Bacillati; Actinomycetota; Actinomycetes; Micrococcales; Microbacteriaceae. The record is from RNAcentral.
GGGGCGGUGGCCAAGCUGGUUAAGGCAGUGGGCUCAUAACCCAACGAUCGUCGGUUCAAGUCCGACCCGCCCCACCG